Molecule: unclassified non-coding RNA, 205 nt
Filed under: Hevea brasiliensis (rubber tree)
Lineage: Eukaryota; Viridiplantae; Streptophyta; Magnoliopsida; Malpighiales; Euphorbiaceae
Source: RNAcentral
GGGCAGUACUUCUCUUAUUACACUUGAAUGCAGCAAGUGCAUCCUUAGACUAUCGGAUGAUAUGACCGGAAUAAAUCUUUCUUCACUAAGCAGACCAGGGCACUCAAGAAGAUGUGCAUCUCAAGAAGUUCUCUAAGGCAAUUCUCAAGUACAUCCAUUCGAGUCCCUCUGAACCGCCAAUAACUCCAUUUUUAGGAGCCCAUCU